CUCAGUUCGGAUCGGAGUCUGCAACCCGACUCCGUGAAGCUGGAUUCGCUAGUAAUCGCGCAUCAGCCACGGCGCGGUGAAUACGUUCCCGGGCCUUGUACACACCGCCCGUCAAGCCAUGGAAGCCGGGAGUGCCUGAAGUGCGUGACCGCAAGGAGCGUCCUAAGGCAAUACCGGUGACUGGGGCUAAGUCGUAACAAGGUAAC
RNAcentral lists this ribosomal RNA (206 nucleotides) under uncultured bacterium. RNAcentral describes it as "partial 16S ribosomal RNA". It matches the Rfam family "Bacterial small subunit ribosomal RNA", at positions 1287 to 1500 of the family's 1533-position model. The record is from RNAcentral.